GCAGAAUAAUUUUUUUUUUAUUUCCAUCCAUUUAUUCCCUGAAUCGCAACCUUUACAAUUCUUCUUGUUACUAGAAUCAUAUUUAUUCUCAUUUCAGAAUAAACAUUAUUUAUCCAUUCCACAUUUUAAACUAUACAUAACUACCAAUUACAUUUGACAAAACUAUCAAUCAUAAAUUUAUACCAUUUCUAAUUCAAGGAAAUGUAUUCAUUUUGCAUAUCGUUCAAUCUUCAUCAUCCGUAUAGCAAGUAAUAUUGC
This 258-nucleotide long non-coding RNA is filed under the name Panax ginseng (ginseng). RNAcentral describes it as "long non-coding RNA (PGIN_LNC018368)". The record is from RNAcentral. Lineage: Eukaryota; Viridiplantae; Streptophyta; Magnoliopsida; Apiales; Araliaceae.